RNAcentral lists this long non-coding RNA (1088 nucleotides) under Equus asinus (donkey). Its description in RNAcentral is "lncRNA (ENSEASG00005035108.1)". The record is from RNAcentral. Lineage: Eukaryota; Metazoa; Chordata; Mammalia; Perissodactyla; Equidae.
CCAUGAUAAGAAGGGCUUAAAACCCUUUAGUCACUCUUAGGAUAAAGUCCAAACUUACACUACAUGACUUUAAAAGUCCUUACUUGCCCAGCCUAUCUCUCCACGUUCAUUUUUCCUCCCUCCUCCUUCACCAACACAUCCCAAGUCUCUUGUUUUCUCUUGUCUCUGAGCUUCUGUGCAUGCUGCUGAUUCUGUAGAACCCUCUUCCCUUCCACCUAGCCCUGUGCACUUGGCCUAUUUCUACUCAUGCUGAGAUUAAGUGACUCCUCCCAGGAAAAGCCUCCUCAGACUCCCCUGGACUAUGAAGGGCUCCUAAAGCACCCUAUACUUCUCCCAAUCUAAGCAUGGAUCACAUUUCACUUUUGUUUACUUUUUUUUAAAUCAGCUUUGUUGAGGUUUAAUUUACGUACAAUUAAAUUAGCCAAUUUAAGUGUAUAAUUUAAUACAUUUUAACAAAUGUAUCAGUUGCAUAACAACCACCACAAUCAAGAUACGAAACAGUUCUACCAGCCCAAAAAGUUCUAUUGUGCUUUUUUCCAGUCAAUCCUCUCACCACACCUCUGGUUUAAGAUUAGCCACUGAUCUGCUCUGUCACUAUAGUUCAACCUUCUCCAGAAUAUCAUAUAAAUGGAAUCAUACAUACAUACAUAGGCAGUCAUUUGUAGCUAGCUUCUUUCACUUAACAUAAUGCUUCUGACAUUCAUUCUUACUGUUGCAUGGAAGAGUAGUUAAUUUCUUUUUCUUUUUUUCCUUUUCUCUCUCGUUUUUUUUUUUUUUUUUUCUUUUCCUGCUGUGUAGCUUUCCAUUGCAUGGAUGUACCAGUUGUUUAUCCAUUCACCUGUUGUUUCCAAAAUGCUUGUUUCUAGUUUGGAGCUAUUAGGAGUACAGCUGCUAUGAAUAUUUGCUUACAAGUCUCUGUCUGGACAUAUAUUUUCAUUUUUCCUAGGCAAAGACCUCCGAGUAGGAUUGUUGGAUCAUAUAGUUUUGGUUACUACAAGUAAAGCUGUUAUGAAGAUGCAAGUACAAGUCUUUGUAAGAACAUGAAGCAUGGCAAUGUUAAUAUUAAUGUAGUAUUCAAAGCAAAAUGC